GGAUUUUUGAGUAGACAGUGACAUGAUCUGACUACUGUGUUGAGUAGAGACUUCAGGGAGUCACAAACAGAAGUAAGAAGAUGAACAAGUAAGCCACUGUUGUCAUAGUCCAAGCAAAGAAUGAAGUGUGGAAUCAGGAUUUAAAAAACUGUACUUGGAGACCUAUUUCAGAACUGCCCUGAGCUCAGGAGAAUUGCAAAUCCUCAAGGAUCACCAAACUCUCUGGUAGAAAACAAGUCCCAGUUGCAGAAGAGUUCUACCUUAGGUGACCAAAUGACCAACAUGAUGAACUAUUAAGUCAAAGGAUCCACACAGGGAUGCUGGAAGUGCUGCUUUUGCAUCUGAAAGAUGUUCUUCAGGGACAAAAAUACUGUAUUCCCCAGGGUCUUUCCAUGCUAAUGAGGCUAAUGUCAUAAGGUUUGAAAUCCAGGUCAUGGGAUCCCAUCCCCAGGGAAGCCUCCAGAUUCCACUUGGAGAAAACACGCCUGGUGCAAAAUGCAAGGACAAGUGAAGGACAAACACAGAUCUAAUGACCUCUUCAGGCACCAGGGUCAAAGCCAAAAUAUGGCAUGGCCAUAAUGCGUAGAGAAUACCUAUAAUAAUGUAAACACAGAGAACAAGGAACAAUGCUGGUUUUCCCGGGCACAACUCAACAAGUCACUUAAAUUCUCUGAGUUUCAGUUGCUCAUCUGCAGAGUGAGAUGACAGCAUGCAGUGACUAUGGCACGGCAUUGUGGAGGUCAUAUCCUUGGAGACUGAACUAACACACAGGGAAGGAGACUGAAACUGCCUUUGCAAAAUUAUAACUCAGGCAAUUGUGUCAGUGAAAGAAAUCAGACCUAACCGACUCCAUCUUGCUUCUAACCUUUAGCUGUCCUUGUUCAUUCCUGGGCAUAGGCCGAACUAACUUUGGGAGGGAAUUCAGUUCAUGGUUUUGACUCUGAAACAAAAUUGAUAAUAGCCCUUUCCUGAAAAGAUCUCCUUCUUCCCUGGGAACCAGUUUGUCUUUGCAGGACUAACAAAUUAGCUACAGAUGAGAUAUUACAGUUCACUGGUCAUGCAGCCUCUGGCUCCUAGAGUCUGAACCUCUCCAAAUUGCUCCUGAGAAUAACAUCACUUAUUGUAAAACCUAAGAUCGGUGCUUGAGAUAUUUUACAGACCCUACACUCGAUGGAUCAGCUGACACCACCCAGACCAGUAAUCUGGCUCAACCAGUUCUGCCAAACCACCCAGGAACAGACGACAACAAGAAAAACUCACUUCGACCCCCCUAUGAUUCUACUUCCAACCUGACCAAUCAGCACUCCCCACUUCCCAAGCCCCUACCUGCCAAAUUAUCUUUAAAAACUCCAAUCCCUGAAUGCCUG
Molecule: long non-coding RNA, 1367 nt
Filed under: Homo sapiens (human)
Lineage: Eukaryota; Metazoa; Chordata; Mammalia; Primates; Hominidae
Description: HSALNT0215030
Source: RNAcentral